AAGUCGUAACAAGGUUUCCGUAGGUGAACCUGCGGAAGGAUCAUUAGCGAAGUUCGGAAUGCAUGUUCGGUGUUGAUGCUGCCCAGCGAUGGGAUGUGCUCGCUCGGAUGUGUGUCCCUUCUCUAUCCACCCCAUUGUGAACCAAGUGUGUGAGCCGAAGAGAAAUCGGACGCUCGCAUGCAAACCUUUAACAUACCCCAAUGAAGUAUCAGAAUGUACCUUGCGUUAACUCGCACAAAUAUAACUUUCAACAACGGAUCUCUUGGCUCUC
Molecule: unclassified non-coding RNA, 271 nt
Filed under: Peniophora albobadia
Lineage: Eukaryota; Fungi; Basidiomycota; Agaricomycetes; Russulales; Peniophoraceae
Description: partial internal transcribed spacer region
Rfam family: Eukaryotic small subunit ribosomal RNA (bases 1-46)
Source: RNAcentral